GAUGAACGCUGGCGGCGUGCCUAAUACAUGCAGGUCGAGCGAACGGACGAGAAGCUUGCUUUUCUGAUGUUAGCGGCGGACGGGUGAGUAACACGUGGAUAACCUACCUAUAAGACUGGGAUAACUUCGGGAUACCGGAGCUAAUACCGGAUAAUAUUUUGAACCGCAUGGUUCAAAAGUGAAAGACGGUCUUGCUGUCACUUAUAGAUGGAUCCGCGCUGCAUUAGCUAGUUGGUAAGGUAACGGCUUACCAAGGCAACGAUGCAUAGCCGACCUGAGAGGGUGAUCGGCCACACUGGAACUGAGACACGGUCCAGACUCCUACGGGAGGCAGCAGUAGGGAAUCUUCCGCAAAGGGCGAAAGCCUGACGGAGCAACGCCGCGUGAGUGAUGAAGGUCUUCGGAUCGUAAAACUCUGUUAUUAGGGAAGAACAUAUGUGUAAGUAACUGUGCACAUCUUGACGGUACCUAAUCAGAAAGCCACGGCUAACUACGUG
This 497-nucleotide ribosomal RNA is filed under the name uncultured bacterium. RNAcentral's name for it is "partial 16S ribosomal RNA". It matches the Rfam family "Bacterial small subunit ribosomal RNA", at positions 28 to 507 of the family's 1533-position model. The record is from RNAcentral.